RNAcentral lists this ribosomal RNA (407 nucleotides) under uncultured bacterium. RNAcentral's name for it is "partial 16S ribosomal RNA". It matches the Rfam family "Bacterial small subunit ribosomal RNA", at positions 30 to 526 of the family's 1533-position model. The record is from RNAcentral.
AUUGAACGCUGGCGGCAGGCCUAACACAUGCAAGUCGGGCGGAGAGGCGGACGGGUGAGUAAUGUAUGGGGAUCUGCCUGAUGGCGGGGGAUAACUACUGGAAACGGUAGCUAAUACCGCAUACCAUCAGAUGAACCCAUAUGGGAUUAGCUUGUAGGUGAGGUAACGGCUAACCUAGGCGACGAUCCCUAGCUGGUCUGAGAGGAUGAUCAGUCACACUGGAACUGAGACACGGUCCGGACUCCUACGUGAGGCAGCAUUGGGGAAUAUUGGACAAUGGGCGAAAGCCUGAUCCAGCCAUGCCGCGUGUGUGAAGAAGGUCUUCGGAUUGUAAAGCACUUUAAGUUUGGAGGCGUUACCGACAGAAUAAGCACCGGCUAACUCUGUGCCAGCAGCCGCGGUAAUAC